This 446-nucleotide ribosomal RNA is filed under the name uncultured bacterium. RNAcentral's name for it is "partial 16S ribosomal RNA". It matches the Rfam family "Bacterial small subunit ribosomal RNA", at positions 338 to 795 of the family's 1533-position model. The record is from RNAcentral.
CCUACGGGAGGCUGCAGUCGAGAAUCAUUCACAAUGGGGGAAACCCUGAUGGUGCGACGCCGCGUGGGGGAAUGAAGGUCUUCGGAUUGUAAACCCCUGUCAUGUGGGAGCAAAUUAAAAAGAUCGUACCACACGAGGAAGAGACGGCUAACUCUGUGCCAGCAGCCGCGGUAAUACAGAGGUCUCAAGCGUUGUUCGGAAUCACUGGGCGUAAAGCGUGCGUAGGCUGUUUCGUAAGUCGUGUGUGAAAGGCGCGGGCUCAACCCGCGGACGGCACAUGAUACUGCGAGACUAGAGUAAUGGAGGGGGAACCGGAAUUCUCGGUGUAGCAGUGAAAUGCGUAGAUAUCGAGAGGAACACUCGUGGCGAAGGCGGGUUCCUGGACAUUAACUGACGCUGAGGCACGAAGGCCAGGGGAGCGAAAGGGAUUAGAUACCCGAGUAGUC